CUACGGGGCGCUCCAGUGGGGAAUAUUGCACAAUGGGGGGAACCCUGAUGCAGCAACGCCGCGUGGAGGAUGACACAUUUCGGUGCGUAAACUCCUUUUAUAUAAGAAGAUAAUGACGGUAUUAUAUGAAUAAGCACCGGCUAACUCCGUGCCAGCAGCCGCGGUAAUACGGGGGGUGCAAGCGUUACUCGGAAUCACUGGGCGUAAAGAGCAUGUAGGCUGGUUUGUAAGUUGGAAGUGAAAUCCUAUGGCUUAACCAUAGAACUGCUUCCAAAACUACUUACCUAGAGUAUGGGAGAGGUAGAUGGAAUUUCUGGUGUAGGGGUAAAAUCCGUAGAGAUCAGAAGGAAUACCGAUUGCGAAGGCGAUCUACUGGAACAUUACUGACGCUCAGAUGCGAAAGCGUGGGGAGCAAACAGGAUUAGAUACCCCCGUAGUC
This 439-nucleotide ribosomal RNA is filed under the name uncultured bacterium. Its description in RNAcentral is "partial 16S ribosomal RNA". It matches the Rfam family "Bacterial small subunit ribosomal RNA", at positions 339 to 795 of the family's 1533-position model. The record is from RNAcentral.